CAUGUCCUUUUGAAUUUAAUAUAAGGUCUAAUCUGCUCAAUGAAUAAUUAAAUUGCCGCAGUAUUUUAACUGUGCGAAGGUAGCAUAAUAAUUAGCUUUUUAAUUGAAAGCUGGAAUGAAUGAUUGAACGAGAAAAUUACUGUCUCUUAGAAAUUAUUUUUUAAUUUUAUUUUUGAGUUAAAAAGCUCAAAUUAAAAUAAAAGACGAGAAGACCCUAUAGAGUUUAAUACUUAAGUUUUAUUUAAAUUUAGAAUAUUUUAUAAAGACUUAGUAUUUAAUUGGGGUGAUUUAAAGAUUAAAUUAAUUCUUUAAUUUUUAAUUGUUGAUAAAUAAAACUUAAAUCUUGUAAAAAAAAAUUAAAAUAAAUUACCUUAGGGAUAACAGCGUAAUUUUUUUUUAAAGUUCUAAUUAAAAGAAAAGUUUGCGACCUCGAUGUUGGAUUAAAAUUAAUUUUUGGUGCAGUAGCUUAAAAAUUGGGUCUGUUCGACCUUUGAAAUUUUACAUGAUCUGAGUUUAAACCGGCGUAAGCCAGGUUGGAUUCUAUCUUUAGUAAGUUAUUAUAUUUUAGUACGAAAGGGCCAAAUAUAAGUUAUUUAAUAAUUG
This 603-nucleotide ribosomal RNA is filed under the name Calochromus sp. UPOL MT0010. RNAcentral's name for it is "partial 16S ribosomal RNA". It matches the Rfam family "Bacterial large subunit ribosomal RNA", at positions 1816 to 2716 of the family's 2925-position model. The record is from RNAcentral. Lineage: Eukaryota; Metazoa; Arthropoda; Insecta; Coleoptera; Lycidae.